GCAUACUCUAGAGCUCUAAUCACUUUAAUUAAUUAAUUAAAAUUACCCUCAAAUCCGCCUUCUUAAUACUUUAAAAAUAAAAAUCCGUCUAAAUAAUUUUAUUGUAACUCAUCUCUUCUUAUCUAUAAGCUAUAUCUUGACCUGAUUUACUGCCUAACUAGCCUCUUGAACAUUUACCUUCUUUUAAAACAUUCAACCUACGGCGAUAUACAAACUAAUAUAAAAUAAGUAAAUUAAAUCGUGGAUCAUCAAUUACAGGACAAGUUCCUCUGAAUAGACUAAAGUACCGCCAAAUCUCUUCAUUUUCAAGAACUUAACUACUACUAAUCUAGAAAUACAACUUUACAUUUAGAA
RNAcentral lists this ribosomal RNA (354 nucleotides) under Cosmopolites sordidus (banana borer). RNAcentral's name for it is "partial 12S ribosomal RNA". The record is from RNAcentral. Lineage: Eukaryota; Metazoa; Arthropoda; Insecta; Coleoptera; Curculionidae.